Molecule: ribosomal RNA, 771 nt
Filed under: uncultured organism
Description: bacterial SSU rRNA
Rfam family: Bacterial small subunit ribosomal RNA
Source: RNAcentral
UAGAGUUUGAUCCUGGCUCAGGAUGAACGCUGGCGGUCUGCUUAACACAUGCAAGUCGAACGCAACCUUCGGGUUGAGUGGCGGACGGGUGAGUAACGCGUGAGAAUCUGCCUUGGGGUCGGGGACAACCACUGGAAACGGUGGCUAAUACCGGAUAAGCCUUUGGGUAAAAGAUUUAUUGCCCCAAGAGGAGCUCGCGUCUGAUUAGCUAGUUGGUGAGGUAAAAGCUCACCAAGGCAGCGAUCAGUAGCUGGUCUGAGAGGACGAUCAGCCACACUGGGACUGAGACACGGCCCAGACUCCUACGGGAGGCAGCAGUGGGGAAUUUUCCGCAAUGGGCGAAAGCCUGACGGAGCAAGACCGCGUGAGGGAGGAAGGCUCUUGGGUUGUAAACCUCUUUUCUCAGGGAAGAAGCUCUGACGGUACCUGAGGAAUCAGCCUCGGCUAACUCCGUGCCAGCAGCCGCGGUAAUACGGAGGAGGCAAGCGUUAUCCGGAAUUAUUGGGCGUAAAGCGUCCGCAGGUGGCGAUUCAAGUCUGCUGUCAAAGCACGGGGCUUAACUCCGUUAAGGCAGUGGAAACUGAAUAGCUAGAGUGCCGUAGGGGUAGAGGGAAUUCCCGGUGUAGCGGUGAAAUGCGUAGAGAUCGGGAAGACAUCGGUGGCGAAAGCGCUCUACUGGACGGCAACUGACACUCAGGGACGAAAGCUAGGGAGCGAAUGGGAUUAGAUACUCCAGUAGUCUAGCUGUAAACGAUGGAUACUAGGUGUAGC